Motacilla alba alba is the source of this 1940-nucleotide long non-coding RNA. RefSeq lists it as uncharacterized. The record is from RefSeq and is a predicted model, not a curated record. NCBI's taxonomy places the organism in Eukaryota, Metazoa, Chordata, Aves, Passeriformes, Motacillidae. The transcript is spliced from 3 exons.
UCUUAACAUAGGCAUUUUUCUUUACCUUGCCUGUAGUUCUGUGUGACUUUACAAAGGAAAAGGGUGAAGAAUUUGCAGUGAAAUUGUAUUUAUUUGUGAUAUAUGACUAGAGAUUCAUGUGAGUGCAGGUGCAGCUGUGUAUUCAUGCACGCACAUCAAACACGUAUUUUUAAUGUGAUACAUCUCACGUCACUGACUGGUUGAGGUCUCCACCUCCUUGCUUCACGUUAAACAUCUUCCCCAUCAGUUCUUGUGGCCUCUUUGGGGACCAUCCCGUGCCAGAAAUGUGGCGUGGUGUGAGCCAGGCUGUGGCUGCAUCCCUGCACAAACCAGGUAAGGCUUUUCCAGUUUCCAUCCUCACCUUGCCCUGUGAUAAAUCAAUAAAUGGGAGCAUGUGUGGAGAUUCCCCCAUGGAAAACAGAGCAAGCACUGGAGUGAUGGUGAGCACUGAAAUUCAGGGUUUUCCUCUGUGCAGUUUUUAGCAGUAAUGGGAAGCGUGAGGUCCAGCUGUGCUGACAGUUCCAUUUCCUCUCAUUCUCCUUUUGGACUUUCCAUGGCUCUAAACUGAUUUUCAGGCUUGUAGUCGCCAUCUUCUUGGGGAUACAGAAAGGUGAGGAUCAGUAUAAAUACCUGGUUAUUGUAUGGGGUCUCUCCAGCUGUUCUCCAGUGAGGCUAUUUAUGGGAUUUUUAAUUUCCCUUGGGGUUUUUUCCACAUGUAUUCUGCAGACAUGAAUAAUUACUGCAAAUUGUGUUUCUCUGUUGAGUGACACUUUUAUUUUUCAUUUCCAACGUGUGUGGCAUUGCAUUCAAGCACUUCAAAGGGAAGUGGCUGAAUUAAAUUGCUCACUUCCCUGCAAAGGAAGGUGGCUGUGGAGUGCAGUGCAGGGGACACGUCCUGACCCCCUUGGGAUGAUGUUGAGAUCCAAAUAUUGAGAGAUUCCUCUGCCCAAAUUAAUCUGCACAGGAGACCAUGCGGAGUCAAUAGUUGUGAUUUUAUUUAACAGUAAAUGGGAGGCAAAAGAAAGAAAUAGAAAAGAGAUGAGAGAGAUGAAGCAGAAGAUAUUUGUCAUCAACAUUUUAGGCAGUCCUUACAAAGGGAAAGCAAAACCAAACCCAAAUGUGACACUGGUUCUUAUUAAGGCAUUUUUGGUGCAUUCUCCUGUCGUUGGCUGCUCUUCCCAAAUUUCUUCCAUUCUCCCAUGGCUGUGCUUGCAUUUCCCCAGUGCUGCAAUCCCAAUUUCAAAGGAGUUUCCUCUCUCCAUCCUCCCCACGAGCAGUGCCAGUUCACUGCUCUGACGGGGGAAAACACAGAAAAGGAACUAAAAACCUUCCUGGACUCCAAAUAGAAUUCCGUAGCAGGAUCUGAAGGAAGCUGUGGGAGUGAAGAGGGAGCCAGGCACCGUUCCAGAGCAGUGUGACACAAAUUCCACGUGGGAUCAGCGCGGCUCACAGAACGCUCGGAGAGGCAGUGGGAGUCCACUUGCUGAAAUCCUGGAAUUUUCCAUCAUACUUGACCCUGCAUCCAACUAAACCUCACCUGCAGGGUGCUGAGCUCCCAGCUCCUGUCACGGCAGAAAAGGACAGAAAAGUGUUCUCUGUUCCACAAGAAAAGGAGACUGACAAGCUCUUCUUUCCAAGCUCCUUCCUCUCUACUCAGCCAAUUCUUCCACCUGCUGGUAAUAUCCUAAUGGCUUCAAGCCUCGUGCUCAGCUGAGGAAUGAGAUGCUCAAGCUCCUGGCUGUGACCCAUAUUUGCUCCUCUGGGGCAGAUCUGGUUGUGGUUGACCCACGAGUGACUUCACAUUGGAUUUAUCCCUGAAGAAGGAGCAGGAUUUGGUUCCUGCAGGCUCCUCCCAGCAGGAUUCUCUCCCAGACAAGGUGCUGAAGGUGCAUCUGAAGGCAGAGGUGUGGGAUGUGUUCCAGCAAUCCCAAGGAGUGGUU